Molecule: non-coding RNA, 118 nt
Filed under: Trueperella bernardiae
Lineage: Bacteria; Bacillati; Actinomycetota; Actinomycetes; Actinomycetales; Actinomycetaceae
Description: SAM-IV sequence
Rfam family: SAM (S-adenosyl methionine) riboswitch aptamer
About the family: SAM-IV is a mRNA element that regulates gene expression via direct sensing of S-adenosylmethionine (SAM or AdoMet). SAM-IV riboswitches share conserved nucleotide positions with the previously described SAM-I riboswitches sequence analysis and molecular recognition experiments suggest that SAM-I and SAM-IV riboswitches share similar ligand binding sites, but have different scaffolds.
Source: Rfam by way of RNAcentral
GAUCAAGAAGAUCAGUCGCAAGCCCUUCGGCAGACUGACUGGCAACCGCGCGUCGCGCACGGUGCCCCCGAAGGAAGAUCUGUCCCGGGUGGAAUUCGCCUCCGGGAAAGAGCGAUCA